Molecule: long non-coding RNA, 1593 nt
Organism: Cyprinus carpio (common carp)
Lineage: Eukaryota; Metazoa; Chordata; Actinopteri; Cypriniformes; Cyprinidae
Source: Ensembl
AUGUAUGACAGCACAUUUUUAAAGUUUUGGGUUACCUCUGUUGUAGAUUUAUGUAUUUAUUUUGUAAGUUAUAUUUUAGAACUUAUAUUGUAUUUUUUUAUUGCAGAUGUAGUUACAGUCUUGUUCAGUGUUGCAACAUCCUCUGCAAAGGAAAGUGUCCAUCGUGCCAGAGAGAGCCACAACGCAGGUUUCAAUGGACAGAUGGAAGGCAGCCAUCAUCUGCACUGGUGUGGAAAUGUGUCUUACAAGGUCUCAGGAAGUUCCUGCUGUAAUGGUAAUAUAACUCUGGGAUUAAGCCAGCUGGUGGCUGACUGCUGUGGUUCUGUAGCUUACAAUCCACUUAAUGAGAUUUGCUGUAAUGGCAGUAUUCUGACUCGAAGCAGCACUUACGCGAAAUGCUGUGGCAAAGACAUGUACUUGACAACGACUCAUGUGUGUUGUGGUAAAAACAACAUAUUUCAAUGGGAGGAAAAUCAUUCUUGUUGUGGCGAGAAAACAUAUGACGAGACAAUCCACUGCUGCUGUAGUAACCCUACACCAGUAGUAAAGCAUAAAAAUGAAACUUGCUGUCUAAAAGCAAAAGAUCAUGAUAAAAAAACAGAACACCAGCCAGGCUCUCCUCCAACUCGCCCUCUGCCCAUAUUAUCAGACUUGAUUUGUGGAUCAGAAACCUACAAUCCCCAUAAACAAAUGUGUUGCUCAGGGAAUCUGUAUAAGGCAUCAGCACUUACUAAGUGCUGUGGUGGAGAUGCUUACACUCUGUCAGAUGACAAUGUGCUGUGCUGUAAUGGAAUCCUUCAUCUCAAUGUGCCUGAGCAGUCUGAGUGUGUUGGAGGUGUUAUAUAUACUCCAGCAAACACUACUUGCCAAAUGUCGACCCGUCCUCGUCUUGGAGAGCACUGCUGUGGAGGACAAACCUUCAAUCCUCACACGCAUAUUUGCUGUAAUGGUCACAGCCACAACAAGAUGAAUGGCCAUUUCUGCUGUGGUUCAGAAGUCUAUGACCACCACAACCAGUUCUUGAAAUGCUGCUCAGGUCAUCUCUACAACCUAACCCAUUUAAGUGGAAAAGCAGAGUGCUGUGGAAACCUAUUGCUGCAAAAUAAUAAAAAAAUUUGCUGUUCCUCCUCAACCAAUUCCAUAAUGUAUGAUACCAAACCAAACCACCAUUGCUGUGGGCAUUACUACUACAACACGUCCUUGUGGAGCUGCUGUGCUGAACGUCUCAAACCAACACCAAAGCCUAACAGCCUUCGUGCAGAAUACAGACUUAAACCACUAAGGGACCUGAUCCCUGAAAUGUGCAAUAAAACAGUGUUCUUUGGCAAAGUGGAGAGUGUGGCACUUGAAAAUGAUAUGCGUCAUGUGUUGUUGAAAGUUGUGUGGCAAGUCAACAUGAAAUCAGAAAAGGUCAUCAAAGACCCUUGGCUUCAUGUGUCCCUGGAUCACUGCAGCUUUCCUGCCACAGACAACGGCAAAACCUACCUUUGGGAGAAAAACCACAAUGGGAAGCCUGUGCUUCUCUCUCAACCUGUUGACCUAACAGCUGACAUUUACAUGUUAUAUUAUGUAUGUUACCAAAAGAAGGGAUAG